GAUGAAGAACGUAGCGAAAUGCGAUACUUGGUGUGAAUUGCAGAAUCCCGUGAACCAUCGAGUCUUUGAACGCAAGUUGCGCCCGAAGCCAUUAGGCCGAGGGCACGCCUGCCUGGGCGUCACACGUCGUUGCCCCCCCAUCUACUCCUUCGGGAUUGCGGGGGGCGGAUGAUGGCCUCCCGUGCGCCUCGUCGCGCGGUUGGCCUAAAUGCCAAGUCCUCGGCGACGCACGCCACGACAAUCGGUGGUUGCGAAACCUCGGUUGCCCGUCGUGUGCGGUCGUCGCGCAUCGAGGGCUCGAAAAAAUUGCCGGGCUUCGGCUCGACUUUCAACGCGACCCCAGGUCAGGCGGGGUUACCCGCUGAAUUUAAGCAUAUCUAAGCGGAGGA
Molecule: unclassified non-coding RNA, 389 nt
Filed under: soil metagenome
Description: partial contains 5.8S ribosomal RNA, internal transcribed spacer 2, and large subunit ribosomal RNA
Rfam family: 5.8S ribosomal RNA (bases 1-122)
Source: RNAcentral